GGAAUGUGCUGAGAGUCUGCCUGACCAGGGAGUGACGGUCAGCAGAGGAACGUCACGGUGGAGCUCCCCGUUGGAGGAGAGGGACUCGGGCAGACCGCAUGCUGCGUGAGCUCGAAGGAGCUCCCAGUCAGAGGGCAGAUGGAGGACACGGGGUGGAACACUGCCGAGAGACGACCAGAGUGACGAGGGCUUCUGGGUGAACCAGCAUGCGAGGACUCUAGCUGAAGCAGCCCGAGUGAUCAGACACAAAGAUGAUAUUGGAUGGGUUUCCGAGAUGAAUAAUUUCAUCAUUGGUGACACGGAAAAAUGAAGUGAAUGGGGCUAUCUGGAAUAAACAAUCCAAGAAACGUUUAUUUUUGCAUUGACAUAAUUUUUAUAUUUUUAAAUUAAGAAGAUGAAAAACUUCAAAUGUACAGUACUGUGUCUCCUUCCAGUCCUACCAAUUCUUCACGCUUAUCCGAUGUGUCCCUGCCUUCAUAAUGAUUCCUCCUUUCCUGGACUUCUGAAGCGGAGGGGAUUCUCCUGGGUUUUGAUGAUGGCGCCUGCAUAACUUUGACGGCAUGGAGGCAUGAGUGGCCCCCAAGGACACAUCUCUGCCCCUCCGCGUGGUCUCCUUGAUGCUUCAUUUCCGCUGGACCUGGGUGGGACCGGUCAUCACAAAAGGUCGGGAAAGUCUGCAGUUUCUCGCAGAUGUGAGAGCAGAGACGGACAGGAAGAGUCUGUGUAGCCUUUGUGAAAAGGCUCUCAAAUGACGCUGUAUCGUGUCUUACAUUCAUAGCGACAUGAUUUCCUGACCAAUAAAAAAAUUACCGGUAAGUGUGGUUGCCGUGCACUAUGAUACUGAGAGUCCAAAUGAUGUAAGUCAUGGUGUAGGACAAUAUUUGGAGACAUGGAAAGUCUGGGAGGCAGAUUCACACCGGCGUGCAAACAUGGCUGGAAGAAAUGUCAUACUUGAUUCACUACAGGGGUCUCACUUUUUCAAACCACCAUGAGCUGAUUACUGGUUUCAAAGAUUUUACCCAGGAAGCUCUAGUCCUUCCAAAUACCCAGAAGACACUCCACUUGCUACAUAUUGGUCUGGAAAUUUUCAUUGCUCAUUUUGUAAUUCUGACCACGCAUUGAACGACUGUACGCCUAUGGCCUCUCUGACGUGGCUGCCUGUGACUCGUUUUGAAGCUGCCUGAGUGACGGGAGUUAUACACAUGCGACACUCUGUGUACUGCUGCCCACGACCUCCACAGGAUACUCCUAUAACAGGCGCAAACGCUACCAGAGGGAAAUGGGGGAGGGCUGGUAUUUCCACCGUCUCUUCCAUUUGAAGUUAUGCACUGCCGUCUAAGUCUUUCUCAGGGGUUCCAUAGGUAUUUGAACCACAGAGUUUAGUAUCCUUUCUCCAAAAGUGUGAGAUUCUGUACCAGUGUCAUUGUUGAAGAGAUUAAUAUUGACUCAAGGUCUUCAAGCCUCUGGUAAGGAGAACAUAAAAUGAGCCAUGGUCUUUGUUUUGAUUGUAAAUGAUGUCAACGGCCUUUCUAACCUAAUAUCUCAAAUAAGGAGAACCUAGACUUUUCUCAUAAAGUUCUUCAAAGAUGUGACAGUUGACUGACUAUGUCAACCGGAGUAAGAGAAACUUACUCAGCUCAGCUAACCCAUACCCGAGGGUGUGGAGAUCCAGCCUAGUGUGGCUUGUACCUGGAUGGUGUAAAGGGGACAUGGAGAAGGAUGGAGCUGCUUCGUUUCUUCAGAGGAGCUCCCGUCUUCCCCUUCACCUUGGACAUCAUCUCCUGGCUUCCAGCCCAGACUCUUCAGCUUCUGAUCAGAUCCCCUAGCGUUCUGGCAUAAGGUCUGCUCCUUCCAUUGCAGACCCACUGACAUGGACUCACAAGGGACACUGCGCUAAGCUCCGGACCUUCGACUGAAUCCUUCGCUCUCCAGUGCAUGGACAUCCUCUGCACUCUUCCUCACCCAACUCUGUUUGUGGCCAGUGGGGGAAAAACAAAUCCUGCUGGACACCAAGUGAAUUUGGAUGAAAAAAGGAAACUGGAUGCAGAAUAUGCCAUUUUCAAUGUUUGGAAUUUUCCAGGAGCCCAAAGAUUUCAAGCUGGAGCAUUUUCUUUGCAUGCGCCUGAUCAUCAAGAGUUAUCUUUAUUUGAGGAUAUGAGACAGGGGUAUUGCAGAGGUAUGUUGUAUACAAUCAUAAUGCUUAUCAGUGACCAUGAAUAAUCACAACCUUUUUGUAGGAUUUCUGCCCCUAGUUUUGCUCAGGAAAUGGCCACAAAUGAAAAUUUAAUAACAUACCUUCCAAUGUAAUUCUUCCACUGAAUAAUAUUCUGAUGAAUGGGAAAGGAACUCAUUUACUUAACCGUAUUUUUAUAAACGUUCUCCGAUAUUCCGUCAUGCUUUAAA
Molecule: long non-coding RNA, 2403 nt
Organism: Chinchilla lanigera (long-tailed chinchilla)
Lineage: Eukaryota; Metazoa; Chordata; Mammalia; Rodentia; Chinchillidae
Exons: 5
Source: RefSeq, a predicted model, not a curated record